UUUAAAUAAAUCGCGAGCGAAAAAAUACUGUCAAGCUACGGUGAGCAACAACAAAAAUAUGCUCAUAUAACCUGCACCACCCUGUAACACCCUGAUUUCAUCAGGCCCCCAGCAGUGUGUGAGAAAACAUUUUCCGCUUCUUUCGUGCCUCAGCCAGCGGAAAAUAACACUUUGCUGGAGAGAAUUUUUGUGAAUUACCAAACCAUGCAAGGGAUGGAGUUGCCGACUUGUGGUAUACAGCUUGUUUUGUACUAAAUUUUUACUAAUGGACUUGCUUGACAUGUUUGAUUGAGCAGUGACACUACAUACAUUUAAUACAUGCAGUAUAUUUUACUUGUAAAUAUUCUACAUUGAACAGAAUAUUAACCCUUUAAGUGGCAAUUUGCUUUACUUUUUUACUUUUUCUGUCUAAUGUGGUCAGACAAUUUUUGCUUAUUAAGGAGAGAGUGCUGCCACUUAAUGGGUUAAAGCUUUUCUGUAAAUGUAAAUUUUUUGAACGAUAACUAUAUAAUACUGUGCUGGGAAUGGAACCUGCUGCCCUGUGAUUCUGAUCAGCUUUUUAACCGUCAAGGGUCCUCAAGCCCUAAGAGUCCAUCGCCCUGAGAGUCAAUCAAGCUCUACUGUAACCAAGAGUUCAUGUACAUAAUACUAGUGUCAUCAAGGGCAGUUUAUUUAAUACACUACCAAUGACACCACCAUGGUAUAUAUACAGCAACUUGUGGUUACCUCUUGGCAAAAGGGCUCUUUAGGUCAGAGGGCUGUGGUAGAAUUGCAAUGCUGCAGGUUCAAUUCAUGCUGACAGGCUUGUAAUUGUAUUCCACAUGUAUUCAUGAUAUCAUUCUAAUGAAAAUUUCAUUUUAGAACUGCAUUAAAUAUUAUAGGGCGUAAGAGUAUAUCAUUAUAUUAUGACAAUGUU
This is a non-coding RNA of Paramuricea clavata, 916 nucleotides long. NCBI's taxonomy places the organism in Eukaryota, Metazoa, Cnidaria, Anthozoa, Malacalcyonacea, Plexauridae. The record is from the annotation of a GenBank genome assembly.